This 478-nucleotide ribosomal RNA is filed under the name uncultured freshwater bacterium LCS-01. RNAcentral's name for it is "bacterial SSU rRNA". It matches the Rfam family "Bacterial small subunit ribosomal RNA", at positions 29 to 508 of the family's 1533-position model. The record is from RNAcentral.
AUUGAACGCUGGCGGCAUGCCUAACACAUGCAAGUCGAACGCGAAAGCCCUUUGGGGUGAGUAGAGUGGCGGACGGGUGAGUAAUGUGUGGGAAUCUGCCUUGCAGUGGGGGACAACCCGGGGAAACUCGGGCUAAUACCGCAUACGWCCUACGGGGGAAAGGGGGCCUCACGGCUCUCGCUGCAAGAUGAGCCCACAUCCGAUUAGCUAGUUGGCAGGGUAAAGGCCUACCAAGGCGACGAUCGGUAGCUGGUCUGAGAGGAUGACCAGCCACACUGGGACUGAGACACGGCCCAGACUCCUACGGGAGGCAGCAGUGGGGAAUAUUGGACAAUGGGCGCAAGCCUGAUCCAGCAAUGCCGCGUGUGUGAAGAAGGCCUGCGGGUUGUAAAGCACUUUCAGUGGGGAAGAACSCCUUGUGGUUAAUACCCAUGAGGGUUGACGUUACCCACAGAAGAAGCACCGGCUAACUCCGUGC